CCUACGGGGGGCAGCAGUGGGGGAUAUUGGACAAUGGGGGAAACCCUGAUCCAGCGACGCCGCGUGAGUGAAGAAGUAUUUCGGUAUGUAAAGCUCUGUCAGCAGGGAAGAAAGAAAUGACGGUACCUGACCAAGAAGCCCCGGCUAACUACGUGCCAGCAGCCGCGGUAAUACGUAGGGGGCGAGCGUUAUCCGGAUUUACUGGGUGUAAAGGGGGCGCAGACGGCAGCGCAAGCCAGGAGUGAAAGCCCGGGGCCCAACCCCGGGACUGCUCUUGGAACUGCGCGGCUGGAGGGCAGGAGGGG
Molecule: ribosomal RNA, 305 nt
Filed under: uncultured bacterium
Lineage: Bacteria
Description: bacterial SSU rRNA
Rfam family: Bacterial small subunit ribosomal RNA
Source: RNAcentral